GGGGUUGUGGCUCAGAGAUAGAACACUCACCUAGCAUGUGUGAGGCCCUGGGUUCGAUCCUUAGCACCUCA
RNAcentral lists this transfer RNA (71 nucleotides) under Marmota monax (woodchuck). Its description in RNAcentral is "tRNA.Ala". Lineage: Eukaryota; Metazoa; Chordata; Mammalia; Rodentia; Sciuridae. The record is from RNAcentral.